RNAcentral lists this small nuclear RNA (20 nucleotides) under Arabidopsis thaliana (thale cress). RNAcentral describes it as "snRNA_05812". The record is from RNAcentral. Lineage: Eukaryota; Viridiplantae; Streptophyta; Magnoliopsida; Brassicales; Brassicaceae.
UUUGCCAUUGUGCGGUCUAG